GAAAGCCAUCAUUGCCAAUGACCCUAAAGUCAUCGACGGAGUCUCUCCCUCGGAUUUCGAGGCUGCUCUUGUGGGCAAAACCCUAAUUUCUGCUCUUCGCAAGGGCAAGAACCUCUGGUUCCAGCUCGAUUCCCCUCCUUUCCCUUCUUUUCAGUUCGGGAUGGCUGGUGCUAUAUAUAUUAAGGGGGUUGCUGUUACCAAAUAUAAGAGGUCUAAUGUGAAUGACACUGAUGAGUGGCCAUCCAAAUAUUCAAAGCUAUUUAUUGAACUAGAUGAUGGUCUGGAGCUUUCUUUCACUGAUAAGAGGCGAUUUGCUAAAGUCCGCUUGCUCAAAGAUCCAGCUUCUGUGCCUCCAAUUUCUGAGCUGGGCCCUGAUGCACUAUUGGAGCCAAUGGCAGUUGAUGAAUUUUAUGAAUCCUUGCACAAGAAGAAAAUUGCAAUCAAGGCUCUGUUACUUGAUCAGAGUUUUAUCUCUGGUAUUGGCAACUGGAUUGCCGAUGAAGUGCUGUACCAAGCCAGUAUUCAUCCCCUACAAACUGCUUCCAGCUUGUCCAAAGGAAGUUGUGCAACAUUACACAAGUGCAUCAAGGAGGUAAUUGAAAAAGCAAUAGAAGUUGGGGCAGAUAGUAGUCAGUUCCCCAAUAAAUGGAUUUUUCAUUCCCGAGAAAAGAAGCCUGGGAAGGCUUUUGUUGAUGGGAAGAAAAUUGAUUUUAUCACUGCU
Molecule: unclassified non-coding RNA, 721 nt
Filed under: Hevea brasiliensis (rubber tree)
Lineage: Eukaryota; Viridiplantae; Streptophyta; Magnoliopsida; Malpighiales; Euphorbiaceae
Source: RNAcentral